This 207-nucleotide long non-coding RNA is filed under the name Sinocyclocheilus grahami. Its description in RNAcentral is "lncRNA (ENSSGRG00000004832.1)". Lineage: Eukaryota; Metazoa; Chordata; Actinopteri; Cypriniformes; Cyprinidae. The record is from RNAcentral.
GUUAACAAUGCGAAUGGUGAUUAUACUCAUUCAAUCAGCACGGCUGAUAAUGGAGCCCAAUCAAAAUCACCAGCUGAUACAACAGAUUCCUCAGUAGUCUUUGACACAAUGUCACAUCCGGGUCAUUCCUUCUUAGAUUAUUCAGGUAGGACAACUAUUUUAGUAAAACUUUGCAACAAAGUCUCAUUUGUUAAAGGAAUAGUUCAC